CCUACGGGAGGCAGCAGUGAGGAAUCUUCCGCAAUGGGCGAAAGCCUGACGGAGCAAUGCCGCGUGGGGGAUGAAGGCCUUCGGGUUGUAAACCCCUUUCGGCAGGGACGAAGCCGCAAGGUGACGGUACCUGCAGAAGAAGCCCCGGCCAACUACGUGCCAGCAGCCGCGGUAAAACGUAGGGGGCAAGCGUUGCUCGGAAUCACUGGGCGUAAAGAGCACGUAGGCGGUCCGGUAAGUUGCACGUGAAAGCCCCAAGCUUAACUGGGGAAGGGCGUGCAAAACUGCUGGACUAGAGUCUAGCAGGGGGAAGUGGAAUUCCCGGUGUAGCGGUGAAAUGCGCAGAUAUCGGGAAGAACACCAGUGGCGAAGGCGGCUUCCUGGGCUACGACUGACGCUGAGGUGCGAAAGCUAGGGGAGCGAACAGGAUUAGAUACCCGGGUAGU
RNAcentral lists this ribosomal RNA (446 nucleotides) under uncultured Actinomycetes bacterium. RNAcentral describes it as "uncultured actinobacterium partial 16S ribosomal RNA". It matches the Rfam family "Bacterial small subunit ribosomal RNA", at positions 338 to 794 of the family's 1533-position model. The record is from RNAcentral. Lineage: Bacteria; Bacillati; Actinomycetota; Actinomycetes.